RNAcentral lists this transfer RNA (73 nucleotides) under Paramuricea clavata. It matches the Rfam family "tRNA". Rfam says of the family: Transfer RNA (tRNA) molecules are approximately 80 nucleotides in length. Their secondary structure includes four short double-helical elements and three loops (D, anti-codon, and T loops). The record is from Rfam by way of RNAcentral. Lineage: Eukaryota; Metazoa; Cnidaria; Anthozoa; Malacalcyonacea; Plexauridae.
GACUGCGUAGCUCAGUUGGCAGAGCAUUGGGCUAGUAUUCCAAAGGUCGCAGGUUCGAUUCCCACCGUAGCCA